GUGGCAGAAAGGGUUAAGCACUCAGCUGCUAACUGAAAGGUUGGUGGUUUGAACCCACCC
RNAcentral lists this transfer RNA (60 nucleotides) under Loxodonta africana (African savanna elephant). The record is from Rfam by way of RNAcentral. Lineage: Eukaryota; Metazoa; Chordata; Mammalia; Proboscidea; Elephantidae.